UGCCUAUGAUUAAUAUACAUGUAUAAGAGUAGUGGACAGAAGUGAUUUCUGAGAUUUUUCAUUCUGAGGCA
Pimephales promelas (fathead minnow) is the source of this 71-nucleotide small nucleolar RNA. RefSeq annotates it as small nucleolar RNA SNORD75. The record is from RefSeq and is a predicted model, not a curated record. NCBI's taxonomy places the organism in Eukaryota, Metazoa, Chordata, Actinopteri, Cypriniformes, Leuciscidae.